CACCAAGGUGACCUGAAGAGUGACAAGGUUAACUGCAGGGAAGAAAGGAAGAAAGAAAAAAAAACUUGAGAAAGGAAAAAAAACCGAAAACAAACCAGAAGCAAGAAAGCCUUGCCUUGUGAUCUGUGCUCCCUGAACACAGUAUAUGAUGCUGAAUUGCAUUUUAAAAUCUUUUUGACAUAAAGUUGGAGACAAAACACUAUCUUGGCUACAGAUAAAGACGAGUGGAAGGAAGCGCCAAGAAUGAUGUGAAAGUCUGCUUGGAAACCCCCCUGCGUAGAAUGGCAUCUCGAGAAGAACAAGAAGUGCCUGGUUUGCGUCAGGAGGAACACACCGUGCUGCUUCCACUCCCACCGCUCUCCUCAGCCUCCCACAGCCCCAGCUACCGAGUCAUUAACAGGAAAGUCAUUAAC
Gymnogyps californianus (California condor) is the source of this 413-nucleotide long non-coding RNA. RefSeq lists it as uncharacterized. Lineage: Eukaryota; Metazoa; Chordata; Aves; Accipitriformes; Cathartidae. The record is from RefSeq and is a predicted model, not a curated record. The transcript is spliced from 3 exons.